AGGACGAACGCUGGCGGCGUGCUUAAUGCAUGCAAGUCGCACGAGGCCCCACGGACGGGUAACCGUCCCGGGGUCCUAGUGGCGAACGGGUGAGUAACACGUGAGGAACCUGCCCCGGAGUCCGGGAUAGCCCAGGGAAACCUGGAUUAAUACCGGAUGUCCUCGAUCGGUCGCAUGUCUGGUCGAGGAAAGGUCCGCCGCUCCGGGAUGGCCUCGCGGCCUAUCAGCUUGUUGGUGAGGUAACGGCUCACCAAGGCAACGACGGGUAGCUGGUCUGAGAGGACGAUCAGCCACACUGGGACAGAGACACGGCCCAGACUCCUACGGGAGGCAGCAGCAGGGAAUAUUGCACAAUGGGCGAAAGCCUGAUGCAGCGACGCCGCGUGAGGGAUGAAGGCCUCCGGGUCGUAAACCUCUUUCAGGAGGGAAGAAGCGCAAGUGACGGUACCUCCAGAAGAAGCCCCGGCCAACUACGUGCCAGCCGCUGC
This 488-nucleotide ribosomal RNA is filed under the name uncultured bacterium. RNAcentral's name for it is "bacterial SSU rRNA". It matches the Rfam family "Bacterial small subunit ribosomal RNA", at positions 26 to 518 of the family's 1533-position model. The record is from RNAcentral.